CGCGGUGGUCCCACCUGACCCCAUGCCGAACUCAGAAGUGAAACGCCGUAGCGCCGAUGGUAGUGUGGGGUCUCCCCAUGCAAGAGUAGGG
This 91-nucleotide ribosomal RNA is filed under the name Salmonella enterica subsp. enterica serovar Worthington str. BCH-4719. Lineage: Bacteria; Pseudomonadati; Pseudomonadota; Gammaproteobacteria; Enterobacterales; Enterobacteriaceae. The record is from RNAcentral.